CCCGCAAGCACCGCGCGCAGUCCCGGUUCCUGCCCGCGCCUCUCCCUCCACACCUCCUUGCAAGCUGAGGGAGCCGGCUCUGGCCUUGGCCAGCCCAGAAAGGGGCUGCCAUAGUGCAGCGGAGGGCUGAAGGGCUCCUCAAGUGCCGUCAAAGUGGGAGCCCAGUCAGAGGAGGUGCCGAAAGCGAGCGAGGGCUGUGAGGACUGCCAGCACAGUGUCACCUCUCACUCUCUCUCAGUGCUGUGAGAGUAUGGGUUCCUCUCCCACUUGAGUGCUGGCUACAGAACUUGGCUUCGCACUGCUGGGCUGUGCACCACGGCCCUAAGCUGGAGGGCAGUAAGGGCAGUACCGCUGCAGCCGCAAUGAGAGAGGGGCUGUGCGUUGUCUACAGAAUUCCCUCCCCAGAGAAACUCAGAGCUGCCACCUACUGAAAUGUUCAGAUCUACUCCAGGAAAAGUGUUGAUCUAUGGAGAAACUCCCAAUGCACCUACACAAAAAAAGCAUCUGUCUGCGUUCCAUUGACAAAGACCACCCUUAGUGUGGACAGCACGUUUUCUUAUCUAUUUGAUUCAUGGGAUGUUUAUGUGGAUAAUUCCUUUGAAAUCCAGCUUGAUUUAUGAACAAUCUUCUCUGCUCUAUUGAGCCAUUAAAUCCAGAGUAUUAGUGCAUUUGGAAUACACAGAGAUGAUAAUGACAUCCAAAGAAGAGUCCAGCAAAACUUAUUUCCAUGAGGACUUUUUCAGAGGGAUGAAGUAACAUUAGCUAUACAGGUUAGCAUUAUAAGACUUCCCAAGUGUAGAUGAGAAUAAUGGCAACUCUGUGGUCCUAAGGAUGAAUAUUGCUCUGGAAUAUGCAUUUUACACUAUAUGAAAGAAAUUAGGAUCGAUAUAAGCUCACUUAUCUUUGCCUUAUUCCUCCUCAUGUUGUUUUUGUCUAGAUUGUCUCAGCCACUUGUUUUAUUUUACUUAAAUUUUAAUUUCAUCUUAUUGUAAACCUCCAUUCCUUCAGAAACAGGUCAAGAAACAUGUCAAUCUACCUAAGUGAAUAACUAAUAUUAACAAUUAAAUAAUAAAUAGUACUGAAUGAAUAUACGAAUACAAGAAUAAAUAAAAAUAAAAUGUAUUACUUCAUCGAUGGAUUUCCUAGUAGAUGGGGAAACGGUGAGAGGAUAUGAGCUUCAAUAAGAAAAAUGGUGCAAAAUAAGGCAGAAGCAAAUGCCCAAAACAAAUCAACACAUUCACAAUUUUUCCAAGGACCUGUCAUGUAUAUAUUUUUUUCUUUUUUUAACCAUUUGUGGCCCCUUUUUUUAACCAUUUGUGGCCCCUUUCUUAUAUCUCAUUUCUCUCUUUUGUAAGGCUUCUGUGUUAAUUGACAGCAUGUUCAGAUAUAAAUCCAUCACAGGAAUGUGAUGAAAUUAGCCAUUCAGACCCCUGAUAUUAAGAAAUUCAAAGAAAUGGAUAGAGUAUCCAACCAGUGAGGAAUUAAAGAAGAAAGAAGAGAAAGAGAAGGAGAGAGAAACUAGCUGUAAAGUUGGGAUGGGUCGGGGGUGGUGAAGAAAACCAAUUAUUCAUUGAAGGUGCCAGAAGGAAAAUUGAUGGCAUGAAUCCAUAGCUUCUCACCAUAAAGGUGAAUAAUGACACAGACACUUAGAUUGGGGAAUGAGAAAAAAAAGGUGCAUGCAAGGUUCUUCUAUUUAUAUCUGAUUAAGAUAUGAAAAGAAAAUGAGAGACUGGAUUACUAAAGAAAAAUUCCAGACAGUUAAGCAAUUUUAGGAAUGAUUCAUUUUAAGAUAUGGCCAUCAAUUAUUUAUAAGGGUUAAUAAAUAGAUUUAUAAGCAAGAGGUACAUGGAAUCUAGAAAUACAUAAAUGCUCUUCAAAUUAUUUACAGCUCUGACAAGUCAUAACACAUGAACUACUACCAAAAACACCAUUUACUUGACUUUAAAAUUUGCACCAUAAACUAUAAAUGGACCAGUUAUGGAGCAUCAGCCAUUUGUAAUGUGCCAUGCAAUAUUUAACAUCAACUAAAUGUGUUUUCACUAGCUGCUGACCACUUGGAUUAAUUUAAUAAGCAUGCCUAGUGCCUAAUGAUUUAUUUGUGGGUAAAUGAUCAUAACUAUUUAAUGGCCUUAAUAUUACAGAUGUAAUUCUGAAAUAAAAUAUCAUAACUUGGAUUUAGUACAUCCAGUUAAAUAACAAGCAUCGACAUUUUUAAAAAAUAAUAAAAACAGUGGCCAGAAAAAGAAAUUAAAGCACUUGCUAGUCAUAUGUCCCCAUAGGUUUCCAGCUUCAUAUUGGCUUUAUUUCUUUUUUUCCUUUCAUUUAGGUCACCCAUUAAUUUUCUUUCUUCAUUUGCACACCCUCUUCCAUUUCCUGUACUAUCUUUUGUUCUAAUCCUCUAGUAAUUCCCCAGUGAGCUCUCAGCUUCCAAAGGGCACUCUAUUUCUAUUAAGCAUGGCAGUCAACAAGUGGAAAUAGUCCUUGGUUGUCCUGCUUUCUGGGUGAAUAGCAGAGUCCCUUUGCAUCACCUCAAAGACUCUGAUUCUCAUGAUCCUCAGUCUGGUGCUGAAUUGUGCUUUUGCUCAUCCACACACAUCCCCUACCCCAACUGUAAUGUCUAACACUGCACAUACAUUUAUGGUAAUUUGAAUAACGCCUACAUUUCAGUGUUUUCUAUAGUACUGGAAGAGGUAAUAAAGAAUUAAGAGUUGCUAAUAAUCUGUGUUUAGAAUAAUGAGACUAUAUUAAACUAAAGAACUUCUGCACAAUUAACAGAGUAAAGAGAUAACCUGUAGAAUGAGAGAAAAUAUUUGCAAACUAUUUAUAUGACAAUGGACUAAUAUCCAGAAUAUGCAAGGAACUCAGUUCAACACCACCACAAAUAAUCCAAUUAAAAAGUGGGAAACAUACCUGAAUAUACAUUUCUCAAAAGGAAACAUACUAAUAGUUAACAGGUAUAUGAAAAAAAUGCUCCACAUCACUAAUUAUUACAGAAAUACAAAUCAAGGGCCAGGUGUGGUGGCUUAUGCCUGUAAUCCCAGCACUUUGGGGGGCUGAGGCGAGCCGAUCACCUGAGGUCAGGAGUUCAAGAC
RNAcentral lists this long non-coding RNA (3092 nucleotides) under Homo sapiens (human). RNAcentral describes it as "HSALNT0040571". The record is from RNAcentral. Lineage: Eukaryota; Metazoa; Chordata; Mammalia; Primates; Hominidae.